Eurytemora carolleeae is the source of this 217-nucleotide long non-coding RNA. RefSeq lists it as uncharacterized. The record is from RefSeq and is a predicted model, not a curated record. The transcript has 3 exons. NCBI's taxonomy places the organism in Eukaryota, Metazoa, Arthropoda, Copepoda, Calanoida, Temoridae.
UGCUUUAUCUUCAUGGAAAUAAUAUUUCAAGUUUUCGGGAACUCUCUCAUCUUACUCUUUUACCCAACCUUUAUUCACUUACUCUACACGGGAACCCUAUAGAGAACUAUCCUAACUACAGGGCUGCAGUUAUAUCCAUCCUUCCUAAUCUCAGAUCCUUGGAUUUCGCCAAAGUGACCGAAGGUGACAAGAAAAAGGAUCCAAGACAGCGCACAAA